Molecule: ribosomal RNA, 392 nt
Filed under: uncultured bacterium
Lineage: Bacteria
Description: partial 16S ribosomal RNA
Rfam family: Bacterial small subunit ribosomal RNA
Source: RNAcentral
AUACGGAGGAUCCGAGCGUUAUCCGGAUUUAUUGGGUUUAAAGGGUGCGCAGGCGGCCAUUUAAGUCAGCGGUUAAAUCGUGGGGCUCAACCCCAUUCUGCCGUUGAUACUGGGUGGCUUGAUUGCGGUCGAGGUUGGCGGAAUUCGUUGUGUAGCGGUGAAAUGCAUAGAUAUGACGAAGAACACCGAUUGCGUAGGCAGCUGACCAGACCGCAAAUGACGCUCAUGCACGAAAGUGCGGGGAUCGAACAGGAUUAGAUACCCUGGUAGUCCGCACAGUAAACGAUGAAUACUUGUUUUCGGCGAUAUAGUGUCGGAGGCAAAGCGAAAGCGAUAAGUAUUCCACCUGGGGAGUACGCCGGCAACGGUGAAACUCAAAUGAAUUGGCGGGG